GAUGAACGCUGGCGGCGUGCCUAAUACAUGCAAGUCGAGCGAACGGACGAGAAGCUUGCUUCUCUGAUGUUAGCGGCGGACGGGUGAGUAACACGUGGAUAACCUACCUAUAAGACUGGGAUAACUUCGGGAAACCGGAGCUAAUACCGGAUAAUAUUUUGAACCGCAUGGUUCAAAAGUGAAAGACGGUCUUGCUGUCACUUAUAGAUGGAUCCGCGCUGCAUUAGCUAGUUGGUAAGGUAACGGCUUACCAAGGCAACGAUGCAUAGCCGACCUGAGAGGGUGAUCGGCCACACUGGAACUGAGACACGGUCCAGACUCCUACGGGAGGCAGCAGUAGGGAAUCUUCCGCAAUGGGCGAAAGCCUGGCGGAGCAACGCCGCGUGAGUGAUGAAGGUCUUCGGAUCGUAAAACUCUGUUAUUAGGGAAGAACAUAUGUGUAAGUAACUGUGCACAUCUUGACGGUACCUAAUCAGAAAGCCACGGCUAACUACGU
This 496-nucleotide ribosomal RNA is filed under the name uncultured bacterium. RNAcentral describes it as "partial 16S ribosomal RNA". It matches the Rfam family "Bacterial small subunit ribosomal RNA", at positions 28 to 506 of the family's 1533-position model. The record is from RNAcentral.